RNA transcript from Populus euphratica (Euphrates poplar), 3211 nucleotides. It is a transcript of the gene named scarecrow-like protein 27, with no coding region annotated. The record is from RefSeq and is a predicted model, not a curated record. The transcript has 3 exons. NCBI's taxonomy places the organism in Eukaryota, Viridiplantae, Streptophyta, Magnoliopsida, Malpighiales, Salicaceae.
AAAGGGUAAAACAUAGAAAAAUAAAAUAAAAUAAAAUAGAAAGAGAAUGAGAGGAGGGGAGAGGAACACUUUAUUGCCUUUUUUAUGAUGCACGCAUCAAUGGCAGGACACAGAAUGAUGGUACAUUAGCACUGUCGAGACAGAAGGGCUAGAAGAAGUGAAGAAACACAGAGCAAUUAACCACAACCACAGCCACACAACAAGUACACAGAGAGGAAAAAAAAGAGGAAUUCGUAUGGGGUUGAAGAAAGGAGAAAAUUAGAUAAAAAUCAUGGAGCUCACCAAGAGAAAGAGAGGAUUGGUGUGUGGUCAAGAACUAGCGAAAAAAGAUGUUUUGUUGUAAUGGGUGAGUUAAAGAAGAGAGAUUCAUGGCAUGCAAUGAGAUAUGAUAUUGGGUUAAAGAAAUCUGAGUUUAAGAACAAGAAAUUUCCUCUCUUCUUUCAAAUCUGAGUGUUAGCCCUCUUGAGAGCCAACGCCAUUGAUAAUCCUUUACUUCACCACAACAAAUCUUGGGCCUUUUCUUGAUCUCUCUUCAAAUUCUUUUGGCUUCUUAGGUAUUUUAUUAAAGGGAUGCCCUUUCCUUUGCAGGCCAAGGGGGGUGUAGAUAUUGCUGGUUUUGCUUCAAUUUGUUCUCAACAAGAAACUUGGACGCACAGGCAGCAGCAGCAGCAACAACAACAACAACGACAACAACCUCUUCAAGUUAAUAGCUUUGCAAGCAAAGAACCUUCCUCAGUUCUUCAUAUGAGAAGAAGUCAAAGCCCACCCACAUCUGUUUCGACUCUCUCUUCCUCCUCAAACGGCGGCGCCGGUGGAAACAUCACCAACAUCACGGCAACAGAUAAGGCAGUGAACCCAGUGAGCAAUGAAAGGAAAGAUGAAUGGGCUACAGAGUUGCAGCCAAUCCCAAGUGGACUAGAGUUUGUUUCAUCAGGAGCAAGAUGUGGACUUGGACUAGAAGAUUGGGAGAAUAUGCUGUCAGAGCCGAGCCAAGAACAAUCCUUUAUGAGGUGGAUAGCUGGGGAUGUGGAUGACACACAGUUUGGGCUAAAGCAGCUGUUGCAAAGUGGAAACAAUCAGCUGGAAUUUGAUGACAAUGCUGAUGCUGGUGCCGGUGGUGGUGGAUUGGGGAUUGUUGAUCAAGGGCAUGGAUUUGAGUCCUUAAGUGGAAUUCCAUGUGGGGUGUCAAGCAUUGGUACUAAUUUGGCUCCUUUUCCUGGCCCUGGGGUUUCAAAUGUUGGGUCUGGUUUAGUUGCUUCCGGUUACUUUUCUGGGUUGGUCAAUUGCAAAAAUGUUGGAUUCGGAAACAACUCUAGCGUGCAAAGCCCAGUUUUUAGUUCUCCAUCUAACAGUGUAUCACUUCCACUAUCUUUGCCUCCUGGUAUGGUUUCUCAUCAUAAUCAGCAGCAACAAAUCGAGGCCUCGGAGGAGAAGCCGCAUAUACUAGAUCCACAGGUGUUGAUGAACCAGCAACAUUCUCAUAAUCCGCAAGCUCAAAAUCCCAACCUUUUCUUGCCGCUACCAUUUUCCCACCAAGAAAAUCGGCCCCUCCAUUCCCAACUCAAGCGCCACAAUUCUGGUGGUAUAGACCCAAUCUCUCAUGUAAUCCCUAAACCACCAUUCUCUGUUCCUGGGCAAGAGUUUUUGCUAAGAAAACACCAACAACAGCAACUGGGGUUUCCACAGGGAGUUCAAUUUCUUCACCAGCAACUUCAACAGAAGCCAUUGAUGGUGAAGAAGGAAGAUUUAGGAGUCCAGCAACAGCAACAGCAUGCUUUGUUGGACCAGCUCUGCAAGGCAGCAGAGUUGGUAGGGACUGGGAACUUCUCACACGCGCAAGGGAUAUUGGCGCGGCUCAAUCAACAGCUCUUCCCAACUGGGAAGCCUCUCCAUAGAGCAGCUUUCUACUUCAAGGAGGCUCUUCAAUUGCUCCUUCUCAUGAAUAGUAACUCAGUCACUGCCCCACCGCCUAGGAGCCCCACCCCAUUCGAUGUCAUCUUCAAAAUGAGUGCUUACAAAGUCUUAUCUGAGGUUUCUCCACUUAUCCAAUUUGUCAACUUCACUUGCAAUCAGGCUCUUCUUGAAGCAGUUGAUGAUGCAGAUAGUAUUCACAUAGUGGACUUUGAUAUUGGAUUUGGCGCUCAAUGGGCCUCUUUCAUGCAGGAACUUCCGCGAAAUAGAGGUGUCCGGUCGUUGAAAACCACUGCUUUUGCCUCUCCUUCGACUCACCAUCCUGUUGAACUUGGUCUUAUGCGUGAUAACUUAACUCAGUUUGCUAAUGAGAUUGGUCUGAGUUUUGAACUUGAUGUGAUUAACUUUGAUUCCUUGGAGCAAAACUGUUAUUCUCUUCCCUUUUUCCGAACAAAUGAAAAUGAGGCUGUUGUGGUGAAUUUCCCUAUCUGGUGCUCUUCAAAUCAACCAUCUGCAUUACCGUCACUGCUGCGCUUUAUAAAGCAACUUUCACCAAAGAUCGUGGUGUCUUUGGACCGAGGGUGUGACAGAAGUGAUCUUCCGUUUUCACAACAUAUUCUCCAUGCCCUCCAAUCUUAUGUACACCUAUUGGAAUCAUUGGAUGCUGUUAAUGCAACUACGGAUGAUGUGAACAAGAUUGAGAGGUUUUUGCUCCAGCCUAGGAUUGAAAGUACUGUGCUGGGGCGUCUUCGUGCUACAGACAAAAUGCCAAAUUGGAAGACAAUCUUUGCAUCUGUUGGCUUUUCUCCUGUAACUUUCAGUAACUUCACCGAAGCUCAGGCAGAAUGUGUGGUGAAGAGGACUCCAGUGAGGGGAUUUCACGUGGAAAAGCAGCAGGCUUUGCUUGUGCUUUUUUGGCAGCGUAGAGAGCUUAUGUCAGCUUCAGCAUGGAGAUGCUGAGCAGUAACACUACAAGCAAGGAGGUGCGCUUGUGUGCUGUCGAUUGCUCAGUCGUUCUUACUAAAGGUGGAUGGCAUAAGAGUUUAUUUUCGCUGGAGGGAUUUCCCACGUAUGGAGGUUGAGCCCAUUGCCUUCUUGUUGCAAUGCCCUGAAUUUUAGUCUGUUCUGUCAAAUGUGAUGGUGUAGCGAAGGUCUGAAGCAGCGAAGGACCUUGCACAGUAGGAUCUACACCACUUAUCUAUCCUUUCAGUUAAUCAAUAUAUAUACUCUGGUGUUGUUUAGUUCAUGAUGCAACUUAAUGAAAUACACUUUAUGGCUGCCUUGGAUGCUUUUGAAAUCA